RNAcentral lists this ribosomal RNA (253 nucleotides) under uncultured bacterium. RNAcentral describes it as "partial 16S ribosomal RNA". It matches the Rfam family "Bacterial small subunit ribosomal RNA", at positions 524 to 776 of the family's 1533-position model. The record is from RNAcentral.
UACGUAGGCAGCAAGCGUUGUUCGGAGUUACUGGGCGUAAAGGGUGUGUAGGCGGUCUUCUAAGUUUGGUGUGAAAUCUCCCGGCUCAACUGGGAGGGUGCGCCGAAUACUGAAAGACUAGAGUGCGGGAGAGGAUAGUGGAAUUCCUGGUGUAGCGGUGAAAUGCGUAGAUAUCAGGAGGAACACCGGUGGUGUAGACGGCUAUCUGGACCGUAACUGACGCUGAGACACGAAAGCGUGGGUAGCAAACAGG